AGAGUUUGAUCCUGGCUCAGGACGAACGCUGGCGGCGUGCUUAACACAUGCAAGUCGAACGGAAAGGCCCUUCGGGGUACUCGAGUGGCGAACGGGUGAGUAACACGUGGGUGAUCUGCCCUGCACUCUGGGAUAAGCCUGGGAAACUGGGUCUAAUACCGGAUAGGACCGCAUGCUUCAUGGUGUGUGGUGCAAAGCUUUUGCGGUGUGGGAUGAGCCCGCGGCCUAUCAGCUUGUUGGUGGGGUAAUGGCCUACCAAGGCGACGACGGGUAGCCGGCCUGAGAGGGUGACCGGCCACACUGGGACUGAGAUACGGCCCAGACUCCUACGGGAGGCAGCAGUGGGGAAUAUUGCACAAUGGGCGCAAGCCUGAUGCAGCGACGCCGCGUGAGGGAUGACGGCCUUCGGGUUGUAAACCUCUUUCAGUAGGGACGAAGCGAAAGUGACGGUACCUACAGAAGAAGGACCGGCCAACUACGUGCCAGCAGCCGCGGUAAUACGUAGGGUGCGAGCGUUGUCCGGAAUUACUGGGCGUAAAGAGCUCGUAGGUGGUUUGUCGCGUUGUUCGUGAAAACUCACAGCUUAACUGUGGGCGUGCGGGCGAUACGGGCAGACUAGAGUACUGCAGGGGAGACUGGAAUUCCUGGUGUAGCGGUGGAAUGCGCAGAUAUCAGGAGGAACACCGGUGGCGAAGGCGGGUCUCUGGGCAGUAACUGACGCUGAGGAGCGAAAGCGUGGGUAGCGAACAGGAUUAGAUACCCUGGUAGUCCAA
Molecule: ribosomal RNA, 773 nt
Filed under: uncultured bacterium
Lineage: Bacteria
Description: bacterial SSU rRNA
Rfam family: Bacterial small subunit ribosomal RNA
Source: RNAcentral